GCGGGCCCGCCUCACGGCCGCCGGGGGGCAUCCGCCCCCGGGCCCGCGCCCGCCGAAGACACCUGUGAACUCUGUCUGAAGUUGCAGUCUGAGAAACUAUUUAAAUUAGUUAAAACUUUCAACAACGGAUCUCUUGGUUCCGGCAUCGAUGAAGAACGCAGCGAAAUGCGAUAAAUAAUGUGAAUUGCAGAAUUCAGUGAAUCAUCGAGUCUUUGAACGCACAUUGCGCCCUCUGGUAUUCCGGAGGGCAUGCCUGUCCGAGCGUCAUUGCUGCCCUCAAGCACGGCUUGUGUGUUGGGCCCCGUCCCCCCCCUCCCGGGGGGACGGGCCCGAAAGGCAGCGGCGGCACCGCGUCCGGUCCUCGAGCGUAUGGGGCUUUGUCACCCGCUCUUGUAGGCCCGGCCGGCGCUUGCCGACCCCCUCAAUCUAUUUUUCAGGUUGACCUCGGAUCAGGUAGGGAUACCCGCUGAACUUAAGCAUAUCAAUAAGCGGAGGAAAAGAAACCAACCGGGAUUACCCUAGUAACGGCGAGUGAAGCGGUAAGAGCUCAAAUUUGAAAGCUGGCCCCUUCGGGGUCCGCAUUGUAAUUUGCAGAGGAUGCUUCGGGAGCGGUCCCCAUCUAAGUGCCCUGGAACGGGCCGUCAUAGAGGGUGAGAAUCCCGUAUGGGAUGGGGUGCCCGCGCCCGUGUGAAGCUCCUUCGACGAGUCGAGUUGUUUGGGAAUGCAGCUCUAAUUGGGUGGUAAAUUUCAUCUAAAGCUAAAUAUUGGCCGGAGACCGAUAGCGCACAAGUAGAGUGAUCGAAAGAUGAAAAGCACUUUGAAAAGAGAGUUAAAAAGCACGUGAAAUUGUUGAAAGGGAAGCGCUUGCGAUCAGACUCGCUCGCGGGGUUCAGCCGGCCUUCGGGCCGGUGUACUUCCCCGCGGGCGGGCCAGCGUCGGUUUGGGCGGCCGGUCAAAGGCCCCUGGAA
RNAcentral lists this ribosomal RNA (968 nucleotides) under fungal sp. RNAcentral describes it as "eukaryotic LSU rRNA". The stretch from base 440 to 968 matches the Rfam family "Eukaryotic large subunit ribosomal RNA", at positions 1 to 534 of the family's 3401-position model. The record is from RNAcentral. Lineage: Eukaryota; Fungi.